Molecule: long non-coding RNA, 1206 nt
Filed under: Chinchilla lanigera (long-tailed chinchilla)
Lineage: Eukaryota; Metazoa; Chordata; Mammalia; Rodentia; Chinchillidae
Description: lncRNA (ENSCLAG00000027916.1)
Source: RNAcentral
CUGUCACCCAGAGUCUCCCACAGGGAAACGGGGCCGAGGACUCCCCAGCGCUGAAGCCAGCUUCCUUCUGUCCACUUCUGCUCCCCACGCGGUCGCAGGACUGCUGGGUCCCCCACUUCUGUCCGGGCGCCGUGGUCUCCCCGGGGGGGCAGGUCGCCGCUGGAUCUCGUUAGUUUGGAAGCAGCGCUGCCCUAGCAUAGCCAUCAGCGCGCGGCGUCUGUCUCCAAGUCUGGGGCGAGGGCCACCCCGCUGCGACCCCCUCUGCUGCUGUGUCUCCCUCCCUCCCAGGCCCGGCGGGCCGCUUCCACUUCUGUGCGAAAGAGAAGCAAACGCAGCGCCCGGCCCUCGCCCCGGGUGUAAGCGCCGGGUCUCGCCGAGGGUCGGGGCGGUGCGAGCGGCUCCCCGCGUCCUCCCCGGCGCAGCCUCCCCAGACCCCGAUCUCCCGGGUCCGGAGCGCGAAUGGCAGAGCCAGGAAGCGAUGCUCCUCCAAAGUGAACCAAAGCUAUUCUCAGUGCCAAUAAGGCCCUGAGCUCCUCAGAGGAUGAAAACAGCCAAGUUCACCUGGAAAGCCAGCAUCACAAGCUCCGCCAAAACAACCAACAGCUCCUUACAGCUUCUACCAGCUCCCAACAGCCUCUCUCAGCUCCCAACAGCCUCCUCCUCCUUCUCCUCCUUCAUUUCUGCCUCUUAUGCUGCUGGCAACAGUCCUCAGGCAUUCAGAAUCAUGGAGGACACUGACAGCGCUCUGUCCAGGACUGCCCUCUGCACUGCAGAAGUCCCAGCACUCUUACCGUGCCCUCCCGAUGUUAGUCUAUAAUGUCCCUGUUAAAGUAACAGCCACAUCAUGAAUCCCACCCCUUCCCCCUUCCAACAUAAACUCUUUAAUUUGGUUUGUGCUGUGCUGAGACUCACUUGUUAAUCUAUGAGGAACAAUCCCAAAUCAGAAGUCAUAGGUAACUCAUCUGCACCUCACUAAGAUGUACUUCAGGUCUUUAGAGGCCUGGCUUCACAGAAAUUUUAAUAAAUUCCCAAUCCCGGAGGGUAGACCCUAAAAUAUCCUUAACAAGCUCUCUAUUUUUUCUUCACCUUUGAGAGAUACUCUCUUGUGGGAAAAAGGGGUCCAGAGGUCUGGUUGAUGGCCAUGGUGGAGGAGUGGGUCUGAGCAAACUCAGACUCGUCAUGUCCUCAGCAAACCGAGUCGCCUGC